GACGAACGCUGGCGGCGUGCCUAAUACAUGCCAGUCGAACGCACAGUUUAUACCGUAGCUUGCUACACCAUAGACUGUGAGUUGCGAACGGGUGAGUAACGCGUAGGUAACCUGCCUGGUAGCGGGGGAUAACUAUUGGAAACGAUAGCUAAUACCGCAUAAUAUUGAUUAUUGCAUGAUAAUUAAUUGAAAGGUGCAAUUGCACCACUACCAGAUGGACCUGCGUUGUAUUAGCUAGUAGGUGAGGUAACGGCUCACCUAGGCGACGAUACAUAGCCGACCUGAGAGGGUGAUCGGCCAAACUGGGACUGAGACACGGCCCAGACUCCUACGGGAGGCAGCAGUAGGGAAUCUUCGGCAAUGGACGAAAGUCUGACCGAGCAACGCCGCGUGAGUGAAGAAGGUUUUCGGAUCGUAAAGCUCUGUUGUAAGAGAAGAACGGGUGUGAGAGUGGAAAGUUCACACUGUGACGGUAUCUUACCAGAAAGGGACGGCUAACUACGUG
This 505-nucleotide ribosomal RNA is filed under the name uncultured bacterium. RNAcentral's name for it is "partial 16S ribosomal RNA". It matches the Rfam family "Bacterial small subunit ribosomal RNA", at positions 28 to 507 of the family's 1533-position model. The record is from RNAcentral.